CGUUUUAUAAUUACUCUUUAGAUUUAAUUUCUCCCUCUCAUUUCCCAGUUCUUCAUAGAUCAUGAAGCUUGAAACCAAGUUAAUUUUGGCUUCAAGUGUGGAUAUGGUUUUAAAUUAAUAUAAAAAUCUUAAUUUUUGUUGCCCUUGUCCCUAGUGUUUUGUUGCAACUGACCUUCUGCCUACAUCUGUUCAUAAUCUUCUACUUUAACACACAAACAAAGUUGGUCUGUCUUUUGUUUUGUUUUUUUGCUCAAUUUAUAUGGAUUUCCACAAGGACUGUGUGUAUGAAACAGCAUUUCAUUUCUUUAUAUUUUUUUCCCUGCUUUCUUGUUGAAUCUGUGCUAAUGAAAGUUGGGUGCCUUCAGGUGCAGCAAUGUGCCUCAACUGCUUCUAGUGUGGGUUUAAGAUAAAGGGAUUUCAGAUUUCAUUGAUCCAUGUAAGCUCUGAAUGUCACAUUUGCACUCUGCCUUGUCAAUUUUUACACCACUCUUUUAAUUGGACACGGUCAAUUUGUAUUUGGAGAAUAUCAAGUUGACAAUUGCUCUCAGGAAAAUCAGUACUUGUGGUUUAAUGAACAAUCACUUGAGUCCUUUGCCAACAGUUAAGCUGCUCAGUACUAUUUGAAUCCAAUGAUUUUAUCACAAUCUUAGAUUUUAAAUUUUUUUUUGUGCUCCUGUAUACAUGUCAUGAUUUUUAAUAAAGUUGCUUUUAAGGUA
Long non-coding RNA from Carassius carassius (crucian carp), 716 nucleotides. RefSeq lists it as uncharacterized. The transcript has 2 exons. The record is from RefSeq and is a predicted model, not a curated record. Lineage: Eukaryota; Metazoa; Chordata; Actinopteri; Cypriniformes; Cyprinidae.